GACGAACGCUGGCGGCGUGCUUAACACAUGCAAGUCGAACGGAAAGGCCCUGCUUUUGUGGGGUGCUCGAGUGGCGAACGGGUGAGUAACACGUGAGUAACCUGCCCUUGACUUUGGGAUAACUUCAGGAAACUGGGGCUAAUACCGGAUAGGAGCUCCUGCUGCAUGGUGGGUGUUGGAAAGUUUCGGCGGUUGGGGAUGGACUCGCGGCUUAUCAGCUUGUUGGUGGGGUAGUGGCUUACCAAGGCUUUGACGGGUAGCCGGCCUGAGAGGGUGACCGGCCACAUUGGGACUGAGAUACGGACCAGACUCCAACGGGAGGCAGCAGGGGAGAAUAUUGCACAAUGGGCGGAAGCCUGAUGCAGCAACGCCGCGUGCGGGAUGACGGCCUUCGGGUUGUAAACCGCUUUCGCCUGUGACGAAGCGUGAGUGACGGUAAUGGGUAAAGAAGCACCGGCUAACUACGUG
This 468-nucleotide ribosomal RNA is filed under the name uncultured bacterium. RNAcentral's name for it is "partial 16S ribosomal RNA". It matches the Rfam family "Bacterial small subunit ribosomal RNA", at positions 28 to 507 of the family's 1533-position model. The record is from RNAcentral.